Molecule: transfer RNA, 82 nt
Filed under: Zea mays subsp. mays (maize)
Lineage: Eukaryota; Viridiplantae; Streptophyta; Magnoliopsida; Poales; Poaceae
Description: tRNA-Ile
Rfam family: tRNA
About the family: Transfer RNA (tRNA) molecules are approximately 80 nucleotides in length. Their secondary structure includes four short double-helical elements and three loops (D, anti-codon, and T loops).
Source: RNAcentral
GGGCUAUUAGCUCAGUGGUAGAGCGCGCCCCUGAUAAUUGCGUCGUUGGGCGAGGUCUCUGGUUCAAGUCCAGGAUGGCCCA